This 748-nucleotide long non-coding RNA is filed under the name Vitis vinifera (wine grape). RNAcentral's name for it is "long non-coding RNA (VVIN_LNC000866)". Lineage: Eukaryota; Viridiplantae; Streptophyta; Magnoliopsida; Vitales; Vitaceae. The record is from RNAcentral.
UUGAAACUUCCCUUUUAAUCACCUCCUUGCUAAGUAGGCACGAGCAUCACCUCCUUGCUUGUCCUUUACCAAGCAACCAAGUGCAUCACCUUCUUGCUUGUUCUUUUCCAAAUAACCAAGUGCAUCACCUUGUUGCUUCUCAUUUACUAGACAAGCAAGGGCAUCACCUUCGUGCUUGUCCUUUACUAAGCAAUCAAGCACAUCACCUUCUUGCUUGUCAUUGCCAAGCAUAAGGCGUCAAAAUGCAAGCAACCUGCAUGAUGGGUCGGAAUGCAUGCAACCAAAAGGAUACUAAGCCCCUAUAACCAUGUGACACCUAACUAGGCAUGGUGACUUGUGGACUUGCUUCACCUACUUAAGAAGUUGCAAGGCUUAAUGCUAACAUGUCAUCUCCAUGCAAAUCCUUUCCUCGGUGAUCCAUGCAACCAGUCAUGUGCAUGCUUCACCUAGUUAAGUAGCUGCAUGGCUCUAAGACGUCACCAUAUGUCAUCUCCAUAUAAAUCAUUUCUUCUUAAGCAAUACCCUUAGGUAAUCCAUGCAACGAGUCACUAGUAAGUUUAUUUGCUUUAGGUUCCCAUCCACCCUUAUAAAUAGAGGUCUUCACUUACCAAGAAAGGAAAGAAAAGAAGUGCAAAAAAGCUUUUAUAGUGUUGUUAUUUUGAAAGUUGGGUUUUUUGAGUUGUCAUAAUGAAAGUAUUGCGACAAUUCCACUUUGGAAUUCUUAUUGUAAGUGAUCUUAUGAUGCAUG